CUGGUAGUGGGGGACAACGUUCCGAAAGGAGCGCUAAUACCGCAUACGUCCUACGGGAGAAAGUGGGGGAUCUUCGGACCUCACGCUAUCAGAUGAGCCUAGGUCGGAUUAGCUAGUUGGUGAGGUAAAGGCUCACCAAGGCGACGAUCCGUAACUGGUCUGAGAGGAUGAUCAGUCACACUGGAACUGAGACACGGUCCAGACUCCUACGGGAGGCAGCAGUGGGGAAUAUUGGACAAUGGGCGAAAGCCUGAUCCAGCCAUGCCGCGUGUGUGAAGAAGGUCUUCGGAUUGUAAAGCACUUUAAGUUGGGAGGAAGGGCAGUAAGUUAAUACCUUGCUGUUUUGACGUUACCGACAGAAUAAGCACCGGCUAACUCUGUGCCAGCAGUCCGCGGUAAUACAGAGGGUGCAAGCGUUAAUCGGAAUUACUGGGCGUAAAGCGCGCGUAGGUGGUUCGUUAAGUUGGAUGUGAAAGCCCCGGGCUCAACCUGGGAACUGCAUCCAAAACUGGCGAGCUAGAGUAUGGUAGAGGGUGGUGGAAUUUCCUGUGUAGCGGUGAAAUGCGUAGAUAUAGGAAGGAACACCAGUGGCGAAGGCGAACACCCUGGA
This 610-nucleotide ribosomal RNA is filed under the name Pseudomonas sp. 992 IA. Its description in RNAcentral is "bacterial SSU rRNA". It matches the Rfam family "Bacterial small subunit ribosomal RNA", at positions 130 to 734 of the family's 1533-position model. Lineage: Bacteria; Pseudomonadati; Pseudomonadota. The record is from RNAcentral.